This 247-nucleotide ribosomal RNA is filed under the name uncultured archaeon. RNAcentral describes it as "partial 16S ribosomal RNA". It matches the Rfam family "Archaeal small subunit ribosomal RNA", at positions 691 to 939 of the family's 1478-position model. The record is from RNAcentral.
CCGACGGUGAGAGACGAAAGCUGGGGAGCAAACCGGAUUAGAUACCCGGGUAGUCCCAGCUGUAAACGAUGCGCGUUAGGUGUGUCAGUGACCACGUGUCACUGAUGUGCCGAAGGGAAACCGUGAAACGCGCCGCCUGGGGAGUACGGUCGCAAGGCUGAAACUUAAAGGAAUUGGCGGGGAGCACCACAACGGGUGGAGCCUGCGGUUUAAUCGGACUCAACGCCGGAAAUCUCACCGGAUAAGA